CUGGCGGCGUGCUUAAUACAUGCAAGUCGAGCGGACCGACGGGAGCUUGCUCCCUUAGGUCAGCGGCGGACGGGUGAGUAACACGUGGGUAACCUGCCUGUAAGACUGGGAUAAUUCCGGGAAACCGGGGCUAAUACCGGAUGCUUGAUUGAACCGCAUGGUUCAAUCAUAAAAGGUGGCUUUUAGCUACCACUUACAGAUGGACCCGCGGCGCAUUAGCUAGUUGGUGAGGUAACGGCUCACCAAGGCGACGAUGCGUAGCCGACCUGAGAGGGUGAUCGGCCACACUGGGACUGAGACACGGCCCAGACUCCUACGGGAGGCAGCAGUAGGGAAUCUUCCGCAAUGGACGAAAGUCUGACGGAGCAACGCCGCGUGAGUGAUGAAGGUUUUCGGAUCGUAAAACUCUGUUGUUAGGGAAGAACAAGUACCGUUCGAAUAGGGCGGCACCUUGACGGUACCUAACCAGAAAGCCACGGCUAACUACGUGCCAGCAGCCGCGGUAAUACGUAGGUGGCAAGCGUUGUCCGGAAUUAUUGGGCGUAAAGCGCGCGCAGGCGGUUUCUUAAGUCUGAUGUGAAAGCCCCCGGCUCAACCGGGGAGGGUCAUUGGAAACUGGGGAACUUGAGUGCAGAAGAGGAGAGUGGAAUUCCACGUGUAGCGGUGAAAUGCGUAGAGAUGUGGAGGAACACCAGUGGCGAAGGCGACUCUCUGGUCUGUAACUGACGCUGAGGCGCGAAAGCGUGGGGAGCGAACAGGAUUAGAUACCCUGGUAGUCCACGCCGUAAACGAUGAGUGCUAAGUGUUAGAGGGUUUCCGCCCUUUAGUGCUGCAGCAAACGCAUUAAGCACUCCGCCUGGGGAGUACGGUCGCAAGACUGAAACUCAAAGGAAUUGACGGGGGCCCGCACAAGCGGUGGAGCAUGUGGUUUAAUUCGAAGCAACGCGAAGAACCUUACCAGGUCUUGACAUCCUCUGACAACCCUAGAGAUAGGGCUUCCCCUUCGGGGGCAGAGUGACAGGUGGUGCAUGGUUGUCGUCAGCUCGUGUCGUGAGAUGUUGGGUUAAGUCCCGCAACGAGCGCAACCCUUGAUCUUAGUUGCCAGCAUUCAGUUGGGCACUCUAAGGUGACUGCCGGUGACAACCGGAGGAAGGUGGGGAUGACGUCAAAUCAUCAUGCCCCUUAUGACCUGGGCUACACACGUGCUACAAUGGGCAGAACAAAGGGCAGCGAAGCCGCGAGGCUAAGCCAAUCCCACAAAUCUGUUCUCAGUUCGGAAUCGCAGUCUGCAACUCGACUGCGUGAAGCUGGAAUCGCUAGUAAUCGCGGAUCACCAUGCCGCGGUUGAAUACGUUCCCGGGCCUUGUACACACCGCCCGUCACACCACGAAGAGUUUGUAACACCCGAAGUCCGGUGAGGUAACCUUUUGGAGCCAGCCGCCGAAAGUGGGAC
RNAcentral lists this ribosomal RNA (1453 nucleotides) under Bacillus licheniformis. Its description in RNAcentral is "bacterial SSU rRNA". It matches the Rfam family "Bacterial small subunit ribosomal RNA". Lineage: Bacteria; Bacillati; Bacillota; Bacilli; Caryophanales; Bacillaceae. The record is from RNAcentral.